RNAcentral lists this unclassified non-coding RNA (332 nucleotides) under Melitaea cinxia (Glanville fritillary). RNAcentral's name for it is "misc RNA ENSMCXG00005020583.1". The record is from RNAcentral. Lineage: Eukaryota; Metazoa; Arthropoda; Insecta; Lepidoptera; Nymphalidae.
CUUUUUACGUAUAGCUUGUAUGAAAAAACAAAAAGUUGAAUAAUAACUUUUAAAAUUUUCAGAAAAAUUAAAAACACCGAAAAAAAGGGCCGAAACAAAACAGUUGUUUGCUUGCGUGGUGCUUAAAAAUAACCGAAUGCGACCACUGCGGCUUAGUGUUCAAAAAUCGAGAAUGCUUGGUAACACACGUCUACUACGCGCACAUAAUGAACGGAGUGAGGGCAACACCCCAGUGUCACGUCUGUAAGAAAAAAUUUCCCUACAACUGGCUGGUGUUCCACCAUUUUGUGAAGUACCACUUCAAUGAUUUUAUUAACUUGAACGAAUAUCGC